This 611-nucleotide ribosomal RNA is filed under the name Microbotryum shastense. RNAcentral describes it as "eukaryotic LSU rRNA". The stretch from base 167 to 320 matches the Rfam family "5.8S ribosomal RNA". Lineage: Eukaryota; Fungi; Basidiomycota; Microbotryomycetes; Microbotryales; Microbotryaceae. The record is from RNAcentral.
CGAGGCAAUACCUGUUUACCAGGGCGUGUACCUCUCACUUUUCAAACUCUGUUGCACUUAUUUUUGAUCAGCAAGGUCAAAGGGCUUCAUUGCCUGGAACUCUGCAGGUCAAUCAUUAUUAAACAUUAAAAAGUCAUUGUAUGUCAAAGAAAUUUAAUAACAAAAAAACUUUCAACAACGGAUCUCUUGGCUCUCGCAUCGAUGAAGAACGCAGCGAAAUGUGAUAAGUAAUGUGAAUUGCAGAAUUCAGUGAAUCAUCGAAUCUUUGAACGCAUCUUGCGCUCGCUGGUAUUCCGGCGAGCAUGUCUGUUUGAGUGUCGUGAACUCUUCAACCCCCAAUUUUUCAUAUUUUGGCGCGGCUUGGUUUCUGAACGCUUUGCUGGAUUACCUUUGGGAAAUCGAAGCUCGUUCGUAAUACAUUAGCAUCCUAAUCUUCGAGAUCAGAUUGACUCGGCGUAAUAGACUAUUCGCUGAGGACACGGCUUCCCCGUCAAAAGGGAGUGGUGGCUGGACUUGGAAAGCUGGAAGCUUAGAAAACCCGACGAUUUAGUCCCUAAGAUUAGACCUCAGAUCAGGCAGGAUUACCCGCUGAACUUAAGCAUAUCAUUAAG